GACGAACGCUGGCGGCGUGCCUAAUACAUGCAAGUCGAACGAAGCUGUUUUAACUGGUGCUUGCACCGACUUAAACAACUGAGUGGCGAACGGGUGAGUAACACGUGGGUAACCUGCCCCAAAGCGGGGGAUAACAUUUGGAAACAGAUGCUAAUACCGCAUAAUCACAGAAACCACAUGGUUUCUGUGUCAAAGAUGGUUUCGGCUACCACUUUGGGAUGGACCCGCGGCGUAUUAGCUAGUUGGUAAGGUAAUGGCUUACCAAGGCAAUGAUACGCAGCCGAACUGAGAGGUUGGUCGGCCACAUUGGGACUGAGACACGGCCCAAACUCCUACGGGAGGCAGCAGUAGGGAAUCUUCCACAAUGGACGAAAGUCUGAUGGAGCAACGCCGCGUGAGUGAAGAAGGUUUUCGGAUCGUAAAACUCUGUUGUCAGAGAAGAACGUGUGCGAGAGUAACUGUUCGUGCAGUGACGGUAUCUGGCCAGAAAGCCACGGCUAACUACGUGCCAGCCGCCGCUGUAA
Molecule: ribosomal RNA, 524 nt
Filed under: uncultured bacterium
Lineage: Bacteria
Description: partial 16S ribosomal RNA
Rfam family: Bacterial small subunit ribosomal RNA
Source: RNAcentral